This 457-nucleotide ribosomal RNA is filed under the name uncultured bacterium. Its description in RNAcentral is "bacterial SSU rRNA". It matches the Rfam family "Bacterial small subunit ribosomal RNA", at positions 29 to 531 of the family's 1533-position model. The record is from RNAcentral.
AACGAACGCUGGCGGCAGGCCUAACACAUGCAAGUCGAGCGCCCCGCAAGGGGAGCGGCGGACGGGUGAGUAACACGUGGGAACGUACCCUUUGCUACGGAAUAGUCUCGGGAAACUGGGGGUAAUACCGUAUGUGCCCUUCGGGGGAAAGAUUUAUCGGCAAAGGAUCGGCCCGCGUUGGAUUAGGUAGUUGGUGGGGUAAUGGCCUACCAAGCCGACGAUCCAUAGCUGGUUUGAGAGGAUGAUCAGCCACACUGGGACUGAGACACGGCCCAGACUCCUACGGGAGGCAGCAGUGGGGAAUCUUAGACAAUGGGCGCAAGCCUGAUCUAGCCAUGCCGCGUGAGCGAUGAAGGCCUUAGGGUUGUAAAGCUCUUUCAGUGGGGAAGAUAAUGACUGUACCCACAGAAGAAGCCCCGGCUAACUCCGUGCCAGCAGCCGCGGUAAAGUCUGUACU